This 29-nucleotide small RNA is filed under the name Bombyx mori (domestic silkworm). RNAcentral's name for it is "ovarian small RNA-35820". Lineage: Eukaryota; Metazoa; Arthropoda; Insecta; Lepidoptera; Bombycidae. The record is from RNAcentral.
UGUCUGGUAUAUAUUUUUCAUCUAAGGGU